This is a non-coding RNA of Capsicum annuum, 162 nucleotides long. The record is from Rfam. Lineage: Eukaryota; Viridiplantae; Streptophyta; Magnoliopsida; Solanales; Solanaceae.
UUACUUACCUGGAUGGGGUCAAUGGGCAAUCAAUAAGGUCCAUGGCCUAGGCCGGUGACCUCCAUUGCACUUUAGAGGGGGUGCCUGCCUAAGGUCGGCCCAAGCGGUUGAGCCUACGUCAUGAUUUAUGGCAGCAUGGGCCUGCGUUCGUGUAGCCCCUAU